This 429-nucleotide ribosomal RNA is filed under the name uncultured archaeon. RNAcentral's name for it is "bacterial SSU rRNA". It matches the Rfam family "Archaeal small subunit ribosomal RNA", at positions 474 to 903 of the family's 1478-position model. The record is from RNAcentral.
UACCAGCUCUCCGAGUUGUAGGGAUGAUUAUUGGGCUUAAAGCGUCCGUAGCUGGCUUAGCAAGUCUCCUGUUAAAUUCAGCGACCUAAUCGUUGAGCCGCGGGAGAUACUACUAGGCUAGGAGGCGGGAGAGGUCGACGGUACUUUCGGGGUAGGGGUGAAAUCCUAUAAUCCCGGGAGGACCACCAGUGGCGAAGGCUGUCGACUAGAACGCGCUCGACGGUGAGGGACGAAGGCUGGGGGAGCGAACCGGAUUAGAUACCCGAGUAGUCCCAGCUGUAAACUAUGCGGGCUAGGUGUUGGGGUGGCUACGGGCCACUUCAGUGCCGCAGGAAAGCCAUUAGGCCCGCCGCCUGGGGAGUACGGCCGCAAGGCUGAAACUUAAAGGAAUUGGCGGGGGAGCACCACAAGGCGUGAAGCUUGCGGUUC